AACAUACCACUUGUUGCCUCGGCGGAUCAGCCCGCUCCCGGUAAAACGGGACGGCCCGCCAGAGGACCCCUAAACUCUGUUUCUAUAUGUAACUUCUGAGUAAAACCAUAAAUAAAUCAAAACUUUCAACAACGGAUCUCUUGGUUCUGGCAUCGAUGAAGAACGCAGCAAAAUGCGAUAAGUAAUGCGAAUUGCAGAAUUCAGUGAAUCAUCGAAUCUUUGAACGCACAUUGCGCCCGCCAGUAUUCUGGCGGGCAUGCCUGUUCGAGCGUCAUUUCAACCCUCAAGCACAGCUUGGUGUUGGGACUCGCGUUAAUUCGCGUUCCUCAAAUUGAUUGGCGGUCACGUCGAGCUUCCAUAGCGUAGUAGUAAAACCCUCGUUACUGGUAAUCGUCGCGGCCACGCCGUUAAACCCCAACUUCUGAAUGUUGACCUCGGAUCAGGUAGGAAUACCCGCUGAACUUAAGCAUAUCAAUAAGCGGAAGAAAAGAAACCAACAGGGAUUGCCCUAGUAACGGCGAGUGAAGCGGCAACAGCUCAAAUUUGAAAUCUGGCUCUCGGGCCCGAGUUGUAAUUUGUAGAGGAUACUUUUGAUGCGGUGCCUUCCGAGUUCCCUGGAACGGGACGCCAUAGAGGGUGAGAGCCCCGUCUGGUUGGAUGCCAAAUCUCUGUAAAGUUCCUUCAACGAGUCGAGUAGUUUGGGAAUGCUGCUCUAAAUGGGAGGUAUAUGUCUUCUAAAGCUAAAUACCGGCCAGAGACCGAUAGCGCACAAGUAGAGUGAUCGAAAGAUGAAAAGCACUUUGAAAAGAGAGUUAAAAAGUACGUGAAAUUGUUGAAAGGGAAGCGUUUAUGACCAGACUUGGGCUUGGUUAAUCAUCUGGGGUUCUCCCCAGUGCACUUUUCCAGUCCAGGCCAGCAUCAGUUUUCCCCGGGGGAUAAAGACGGCGGGAAUGUGGCUCUCUUCGGGGAGUGUUAUAGCCCACCGUGUAAUACCCUGGGGGGGACUGAGGUUCGCGCAUCUGCAAGGAUGCUGGCGUAAUGGUCAUCAACGACC
This 1054-nucleotide ribosomal RNA is filed under the name uncultured Fusarium. RNAcentral's name for it is "eukaryotic LSU rRNA". The stretch from base 430 to 1054 matches the Rfam family "Eukaryotic large subunit ribosomal RNA", at positions 1 to 649 of the family's 3401-position model. The record is from RNAcentral. Lineage: Eukaryota; Fungi; Ascomycota; Sordariomycetes; Hypocreales; Nectriaceae.